This is a non-coding RNA of Cinara cedri, 1047 nucleotides long. Lineage: Eukaryota; Metazoa; Arthropoda; Insecta; Hemiptera; Aphididae. The record is from the annotation of a GenBank genome assembly.
CUUCGUACUCACUCUCGUAUAUAAUAUAAUGAGUUUUCUGGGUUUGACUUUUCCAGUAUUAUUAUUAUUAUUAUUAUUAUUAUUAUUAUUAUUAUUCGAAAGCGCGGGAAUCUGACAUUCAUUAUGUAGUUUCUAAACUAAAUGCGGAGUAACUGUGACAAUCGCUUCGGUGUGUACGAUGUGUAUAUGUACGUGUAUAGAAAGCCGGGGCUCCGGGACUCCAAUUAGCACUACGUACAACUUUUAUAAUUGUGUAACGUGUGUAGUAUGUACGCACCACGCAAAUAAUAUGUCAAGUUUACCGUCACUCGUAUCCAACCCAAAAGGGUUGUUACGUUGUUGUUUUUUUUUUUUUUUCUUUUUUUAUUCUCCUAACAGGUUGAUUAGAAUUUCGUCGUACACGGCGUUAUAUCCAAUAAACCCGGGACACCUAUACUCCGCAAGCACACGUUAUUACACGUCUGUAUCACCCUUAUCACCUAUAUCACAUUAUACACAGCGCACGCGAUACCCGAACCUGACAAUAAUUUUAUUCCGUUUGAUCGUCGUCGCACCGGAGUUAUAUUAUAUUCUGUAACAUAUUAUAAGUAUAGACUAUAGAUAUACAUUUUUUUUUUUUUUUUUUUUUUUUUUUUUUAACCCUCUAUAUAAGUUUAUAUUAUUAUUAUUAUUAUUACACGUGCGCAUAACGAUAUUUCGUAUUUCGCGAGUAUAUUUACGAGAAUUUGUUCAACUCUUCGUACGACGUGCUGACGAGGGAUGCUGACAUCGUUAAAAAAAAAUCCAUCGUUAUGCGGACGAAGGAAAAAAAGAUUUUACACAGUAUCACCGUCGGAAAAGCUAAUAAUAUUACGUAUACUGAAAUAUCGUUGUUGAAUAUUACAAUUAGUGAUUUUAAAUAGUGAGAUUCUACUGCAGCGUUGUUAAAAUUGUUUUUUUUCUUUAUAAUCCGAACGAAGAAUACAUUAGUUAUACUAUUAUGUAUUUCUUUUUUAUAUAUAUAUAUAUAUAUACCCGUAAAUAACCUUUUUAACAAAAAUCUUGAUC